UGCCAUCGGGUUUGGCCGGGCACUCUGAAGGAACUGCCGGUGACAAGCCGGAGGAAGGUGGGGAUGACGUCAAGUCCUCAUGGCCCUUAUGGGCUGGGCUACACACGUGCUACAAUGGCGGUGACAAUGGGCAGCGAAGGGGCGACCCGGAGCUAAUCCCCAAAAACCGUCUCAGUUCGGAUUGCACGCUGCAACUCGCGUGCAUGAAGGUGGAAUCGCUAGUAAUCGUGGAUCAGCAUGCCACGGUGAAUACGUUCCCGGGCCUUGUACACACCGCCCGUCACACCAUGGGAGUUGGUUUUACCCGAAGCCGGUGGGCUAACCUUUCGAGGAGGCAGCCGUCCACGGUAAGGUCAGCGACUGGGGUG
This 368-nucleotide ribosomal RNA is filed under the name uncultured bacterium. Its description in RNAcentral is "bacterial SSU rRNA". It matches the Rfam family "Bacterial small subunit ribosomal RNA", at positions 1116 to 1482 of the family's 1533-position model. The record is from RNAcentral.